CUGGGGAGGCACAUAUGACAAGCUGUGGAGUGCACGGUAGUGUGGAGAUUUCCUUGAUCCCACUGAAAUAUUUAAAAUUCAGCCAUUAAUCAUAACAGCUGCAUUCUUGCUUCAAGUGAUCAGCCAGUAAUGAUUUUGACAUUCUGAGUUUUAGAAAUUCCCAUUAAUUGUCCUUAAAAAAGGGCAGGAAUGAAUAAACUUGACUUCAUUUGUGAGGAAAGAAUCAAUUCCUCUCACUCUGUUAGUUGCUCUUGAUCUCCUUUUUUUUUUUUUUCUUCAAAAUUAUUUGAUCUAACGUGCAGCUAUUUUCUGGACUUGUUUCUCCAGGUCUGAAUUGUAAUGGCUGAAUGUUCUAGAUGGCUGUUGGUCCCCGGAAUCAACAGGAAACGAUGAGCCCUUUGAUAACAGGUGCUUCUGGGAGCAGUCCCUGCUAGCCAGCUUAGCUUCAAAACAGAGCAAUGCUAGAAAAGACAAGGACUGGAGGCUGAGAAAGGUGAGCCAGCGCCAUGAGGAGUGGCUGCCUCUUGAAUCCUGUCAGUCUCCGGCAGAUCCGAUUACAUCUGGGGCCCUUAAGAGUACUUCAAGCAAACGGCGCUGGUCUAUUUUAAUCCUGCUCCUUCUAGAAACCAGAAACUGUAAGGAGAGUCUUCCUGCUGACAGGUGGCUCCAUAAAAGUCGUCCAUCUGCUGCUAAUUAUGGUAGAAAGAAAAUUCACAGAGCCGAGUUUUCAGUUUAUUUGCUAAAGAUCUCCAAAGGUGUAACUGUCUUCCCAGAUCACAAGGCCAUUCACAGCAUUACCUCUAGAGCGCUUGUUAAUUAUUUAAAUAAUUUACAACCCGGGGUGGCAGCGAGCAUUUAACAGAAGUCUGGCUGGGUGAUUUUACUUUAUGAUGAAGUUAUAGUCAAUAUUAAGCUUAAUUAGUGGCACUGAAUCUGUCAAAUUCAAUCAUUUUUGACGUAUUUGAUGAUUUUUCUGCAGGUGCUAGAAAUACUAUAAAAUGCAUUUUAAAAGACGUAUAGCUUCAAGUUGGGUGUGAUGAACUGGAACCCUCCUAAUCUGUUCUGUAGGUUCUGUCCUUGAGCAUUACACAGAACCUUACAUAAGACUCUGGUUUGCAGGUAUAAAAUGAAGGUAGGAUUGGGUUAACCACAUGACCUAAGUUACGUCAAAUACUCUGAUGGCUAUAACGUGGAAGUCAGAAAUUGGUCGCUAGUUGAAUGAUUUGCAGAGAAUAUACAGAAAAUACACAAAUCAAAUGAAGUCAUUGCACAUGAAAAUGGUAGAACAAAGAGGCAAUCGUGAGGUCAAAUGCUAGGGUCCAUGUCAUGAGACAAAAGCAGUGCUAGGUCCCUCCUGACUCCAUCUGGCCCAUUUUUUUGCAUUAUAUUUGGAUGUCCUUUUACCUAGAUAAUAUUGUUGGAAUAUAAUUCAUAUGGUUUUCUAUAUAUUCAAGUUCUCCUAGAAGGCAGGUUAGGAAAAUAAGUUUUGAUAAAAAUGACAUAAAACAGCCCAAAACAAUGCAGAAGUCUAAAAAAGUGACUAGAAAAGAAUUGGCUGGGAUAGUGAAAAGAUUUUUAUUGCAAAAUGUCCUAUUAGAUAAAUCUGGUUGCAUUUGCUGUUGAUUUUAUUUUUAAAAUGUUUUAUUCUGCCACUGUUCUUUGCAGACUUUCUACUUCUGGGUUUUCAAUGUUUCUCUAUUCUUUGAAAUGUUACAUGCAUAUGGAAGCGGCAAAGUGGGCACUAGAUUGGAAUAGGCAUCUCAAACCCUACCAUUGUUUGGAUCUCAGUUUUGAAUUAAUUGCCUAACUUACUUUGCCUUUAAUACUUCCUGUUCUGGUCUUACCAACUUCUUACCUUGUGACCCAAUCCUUUGAAGCUGAGCUUCACUUGGUCUCGUUUCUCUGUGCAUUUCUUGGUUGCUUUCCUUGAUCUCUCCCUCUAAAUAGAUCUAUUUUCUAGAUCCCUCUCAGCAAGCUCUCAAGCCUGCUGGGCAACCUCUUCUGGCCUGGCUUGGCCUUUGAAAGCAUCACGUCUUUCCUGGUCCUUCUGGCCCCUUAAAUAGGACUUGGCAAGACACUAGGUGGCUGAACCUCAUGUUUUGGGAACUUUUGGUUACAGCCAGACUUCAAUGAGUCUUCCUCCAAUUUCUCUCACUUUUCACAAUUUUUCCAUUCUCCAUUUUACUGUUGCAUAAGUUCCCAUGGCAGGAUUUUCCAAAAUCUGGUUGUGCUCAAAGCCUUGUAUAUUUGAUUGAAAGAAACAUUGCCAUGGCUCUUUCUUCUUCCUUUUCCUAUAGCUAAUUGUAAGACUUGAAGAAAAUGAAAAGGGGCUCCUACUUGGGAAAGAGCUGGAGAAUUUUUGACUCAUAGUCUGUAUAACAUGAACUAAUGUAUAUUAUACAUUGUUGUAUGAUAUUCCUUAUUGACAUUGUCUUUCUAAAUAUAUGGUUGAUUCCAUAGAAGGUAAAUACUUCUCUCUUCUCUCUCUCUCAAGUUUAACACCAUGCCUGCACAUACCGUAGGAUCAUUAAGUAUUUUUUCCUUUUUAUAUAUUUUUUUAUUUCAAUAGCUUUUGGGGUACAAGUGGUUUUUGGUUACAUGGAUGAAUUGUAUAGUGGUGAAGUCUGAGAUUUUAGUGUACCCAUCCCCCAAGUAGUAUACAUGGUAUCCAAUGUAUAGUUUUU
This is a long non-coding RNA of Cercocebus atys (sooty mangabey), 2684 nucleotides long. NCBI's taxonomy places the organism in Eukaryota, Metazoa, Chordata, Mammalia, Primates, Cercopithecidae. The record is from Ensembl.